UACGGAGGGUGCAAGCGUUAAUCGGAAUUACUGGGCGUAAAGCGCGCGUAGGCGGCUGGAUAAGUCGAUUGUGAAAGCCCCGGGCUCAACCUGGGAAUUGCAGUCGAGACUGUUCGGCUAGAGUGUGGGAGAGGGCAGUGGAAUUCCCGGUGUAGCGGUGAAAUGCGUAGAUAUCGGGAGGAACAUCGGUGGCGAAGGCGGCAUCCUGGACCAACACUGACGCUGAGGAGCGAAAGCCAGGGGAGCAAACGGG
RNAcentral lists this ribosomal RNA (253 nucleotides) under uncultured bacterium. Its description in RNAcentral is "partial 16S ribosomal RNA". It matches the Rfam family "Bacterial small subunit ribosomal RNA", at positions 524 to 776 of the family's 1533-position model. The record is from RNAcentral.